Molecule: long non-coding RNA, 86 nt
Organism: Myotis davidii
Lineage: Eukaryota; Metazoa; Chordata; Mammalia; Chiroptera; Vespertilionidae
Exons: 3
Source: RefSeq, a predicted model, not a curated record
CUCCACAGACCAGCCUCUGCCAUGGACCUGUUUGGGGACCUGCCGGAGCCUGAGCCCUCGUAGGCUGCCAGGAAAAAAGCUCAGAA